This 497-nucleotide ribosomal RNA is filed under the name uncultured bacterium. Its description in RNAcentral is "partial 16S ribosomal RNA". It matches the Rfam family "Bacterial small subunit ribosomal RNA", at positions 28 to 507 of the family's 1533-position model. The record is from RNAcentral.
GAUGAACGCUGGCGGCGUGCCUAAUACAUGCCAGUCGAGCGAACAGAUGAGGAGCUUGCUCCUCUGACGUUAGCGGCGGACGGGUGAGUAACACGUGGAUAACCUGCCUAUAAGACUGGGAUAACUUCGGGAAACCGGAGCUAAUACCGGAUAAUAUAUUGAACCGCAUGGUUCAAUAGUGAAAGACGGUUUUGCUGUCACUUAUAGAUGGAUCCGCGCCGCAUUAGCUAGUUGGUAAGGUAACGGCUUACCAAGGCAACGAUGCGUAGCCGACCUGAGAGGGUGAUCGGCCACACUGGAACUGAGACACGGUCCAGACUCCUACGGGAGGCAGCAGUAGGGAAUCUUCCGCAAUGGGCGAAAGCCUGACGGAGCAACGCCGCGUGAGUGAUGAAGGUCUUCGGAUCGUAAAACUCUGUUAUUAGGGAAGAACAAAUGUGUAAGUAACUAUGCACGUCUUGACGGUACCUAAUCAGAAAGCCACGGCUAACUACGUG